RNAcentral lists this ribosomal RNA (491 nucleotides) under uncultured bacterium. RNAcentral describes it as "partial 16S ribosomal RNA". It matches the Rfam family "Bacterial small subunit ribosomal RNA", at positions 29 to 506 of the family's 1533-position model. The record is from RNAcentral.
AGUGAACGCUGGCGGUAGGCCUAACACAUGCAAGUCGAACGGCAGCACAGUAAGAGCUUGCUCUUACGGGUGGCGAGUGGCGGACGGGUGAGGAAUACAUCGGAAUCUACUUUUUCGUGGGGGAUAACGUAGGGAAACUUACGCUAAUACCGCAUACGACCUACGGGUGAAAGCAGGGGAUCUUCGGACCUUGCGCGAUUGAAUGAGCCGAUGUCGGAUUAGCUAGUUGGCGGGGUAAAGGCCCACCAAGGCGACGAUCCGUAGCUGGUCUGAGAGGAUGAUCAGCCCACUUGGAAUUGGAAACCGGCCCAGCCCCCUAGGGAGGGCACCAUGGGGGAAUUUUGGAAAAUGGGGGAAACCCUGACCCCCCCAUACGCGGGGGGUGAAGAAGGCCUUCGGGUUGUAAAGCCCUUUUUUUGGGAAAAAAAAGCAGCAGGUUAAUCCCCCGCUGUUCUGACGGUACCAAAAAAAUAAGCCCCGGCUAACUUCGU